GGCUUUGGGGUCUUCCAUCUUUGGGGUCUUCCAUCUUUGGGAUCUUCCACCAUUGAGAUCUUCUCCCAUUGGGAUCUUCUCCCAUUGGGAUCUUCCCCCAUUGGGAUCUUCCAUCAUUGGGGUCUUCCCCCCAUUGGGGUCUUCCCCCAUUGGGAUCUUCCAUCCAUGGGUUUGGGAUCUUCUCCUCUUGGUGCCCCAUGGGGUUGGGAUCCCGGUGUCUUUGGGGUCUCCAUUUUUGGGGGAUCCCAAUGUCAUUGGGUUUGGGAUCUUCCAUCCAUGGGGUUGGGAUCUUCCACCAUUGGGGUCUUCCAUCCCUGGUGCCCCAUGGUUGUGGGAUCUCAGUGGUUUUGGGGUCUCCAUCUUUGGGGGUUCCCGAUGUCGUUGGGUUUGGGAUCUUCUCCUCUUGGUGCCCCAUGGGGUUGUGGGAUCCGGGUGGCUUUGGGGUCUCCAUUUUUGGGGGAUCCCAAUCAUGUUGGGUUUGGGAUCUUCCCCCAUUGGGAUCUUCCAUCAUUGGUAUCUUCCACCAUUGGGGUCUUCCAUCCAUGGGUUUGGGGUCUUCCACCAUUGGGGUCUUCCCCCAUUGGGAUCUUCCCCCAUUGGGGUCUUCCCCCAUUGGGAUCUUCCCCCCAUUGGGAUCUUCCCCCAUUGGGAUCUUCCACCCACGGGUUUGGGGUCUUCUUCUCUUGGUGCCCCAUGGGGUUGUGGGAUCCGGGUGUCUUUGGGGUCUCCAUUUUUGGGGGAUCCCAAUGUCAUUGGGUUUGGGGUCUUCCCCCAUUGGGGUCUUCCACCAUUGGGGUCUUCCACCAUUGGGAUCUUCCACCAUUGGGAUCUUCCAUCCAUGGGUUUGGGGUCUUCCACCAUUGGGGUCUUCCAUCCAUGGGUUUGGGAUCUUCCAUCAUUGGGAUCUUCCCCCAUUGGGGUCUUCCGUCCAUGGGUUUGGGGUCUUCCCCCCUUGGGAUCUUCCCCCCUCGGGAUCUUCCAUCAUUGGGGUCUUCCAUCCAUGGGUUUGGGAUCUUCCAUCAUUGGGAUCUUCCACCAUUGGGGUCUUCCAUCCACGGGUUUGGGGUCUUCCCCCAUUGGGAUCUUCCCCCAUUGGGAUCUUCCCCCAUUGGGAUCUUCCAUCAUUGGGGUCUUCCACCAUUGGGGUCUUCCACCAUUGGGGUCUUCCACCAUUGGGAUCUUCCAUUCAUGGGUUUGGGAUCUUCCAUCAUUGGGAUCUUCCAUCCACGGGUUUGGGUUCUUCCAUCAUUGGGAUCUUCCCCCAUUGGGAUCUUCCCCCAUUGGGAUCUUCCCCCAUUGGGGUCUUCCAUCAUUGGGAUCUUCCACCCAUGGGUUUGGGAUCUUCUCCUCUUGGUGCCCCAUGGGGUUUUGGGAUCCAGGUGUCUUUGGGGUCUCCAUUUUUGGGGGAUCCCAAUCUUGUUGGGUUUGGGAUCUUCCCCCAUUGGGCUCUUCCAUCAUUGGGGUCUUCCACCAUUGGGAUCGUCCACCAUUGGGGUCUUCCAUCCACGGGUUUGGGGUCUUCCCCCCUUGGGAUCUUCCCCCAUUGGGAUCUUCCAUCCAUGGGUUUGGGGUCUUCCACCAUUGGGGUCUUCCAUCCAUGGGUUUGGGGUCUUCCAUCUUUGGGAUCUUUCAUCCUUGGGGUCUUCCCCCAUUGGGAUCUUCCCCCAUUGGGGUCUUCCAUCCACGGGUUUGGGGUCUUCCACCAUUGGGGUCUUCCAUCCAUGGGUUUGGGGUCUUCCAUCUUUGGGAUCUUUCAUCCUUGGGGUCUUCCCCCAUUGGGGUCUUCCCCCAUUGGGAUCUUCCCCCAUUGGGAUCUUCCACCCACGGGUUUGGGAUCUUCUCCUCUUGGUGCCCCAUGGGGUUGGGAUCUGGGUGGCUUUGGGGUCUCCAUUUUUGGGG
Numida meleagris (helmeted guineafowl) is the source of this 1899-nucleotide long non-coding RNA. NCBI's taxonomy places the organism in Eukaryota, Metazoa, Chordata, Aves, Galliformes, Numididae. The record is from Ensembl.